Molecule: long non-coding RNA, 287 nt
Organism: Pristis pectinata (smalltooth sawfish)
Lineage: Eukaryota; Metazoa; Chordata; Chondrichthyes; Rhinopristiformes; Pristidae
Exons: 3
Source: RefSeq, a predicted model, not a curated record
AAGCAUUUGGUCCUAUCUUUCCUGAUGUGGUUUCCCACUGUCAUUGUAUCCCAAAGAAGCAUGAAGCAUCCACUUUUAUUUGGGUUGGAUUCAAUCCCAAAUCCCAGAAAAUUUGAGAGGCAUGUGAACUGACAGCAAGGAUUCUUGGUGAUAGCCAAACCACUGACCUUUCAACUGCCCAUUCGUCAGCGAAGAGGUGCCUGCGUCACACUGCUGGAAGCUGAAUCUCCCGGCCCUCACACCAGCAGCAACCUCUUCCAGUGAUCCACGUUCUGCCAAGAAUGGUG